ACUACACAGAAACGGGCAAGCACUCAGAAGCAUUUCGUUUGCCUUGAUCCUGGAGGCGCGCGGCCGUCUCCCGCUGCCGAGGAUUUGACGCGAACUCCUGGCAGAUCAGAAAUGUUCAGGCGAACGGCGGUCAUGUUUGUCCGUGGACCCAAGACUUCGUUGACGGGCAAAUAUGGAACACUGCAACAAGGACUGGUGUGGAUAGCGUGCUGCGCUAGGCUCGCCAAUUAAAAAGAAUUCUGGUAAGACGCAUACUUGGUUACAAAAGCCUCACGC
This is a long non-coding RNA of Rhipicephalus sanguineus (brown dog tick), 276 nucleotides long. RefSeq lists it as uncharacterized. Lineage: Eukaryota; Metazoa; Arthropoda; Arachnida; Ixodida; Ixodidae. The transcript has 3 exons. The record is from RefSeq and is a predicted model, not a curated record.